Molecule: ribosomal RNA, 421 nt
Filed under: uncultured bacterium
Lineage: Bacteria
Description: bacterial SSU rRNA
Rfam family: Bacterial small subunit ribosomal RNA
Source: RNAcentral
UAAGGAAUAUUGGUCAAUGGACGCAAGUCUGAACCAGCCAUGCCGCGUGAAGGAUGAAGGUCCUCUGGAUUGUAAACUUCUUUUAUCUGGGACGAAAACGGGAUUUUUAUCUCAAUUGACGGUACCAGAGGAAUAAGCACCGGCUAACUCCGUGCCAGCAGCCGCGGUAAUACGGCGGGGGCGAGCGUUAUCCGGAUUUACUGGGUUUAAAGGGUGCGUAGGUGGGCUUAUAAGUCAGUGGUGAAAUCUCCGAGCUUAACUUGGAAACUGCCGUUGAUACUAUAGGUCUUGAAUUAUCUGGAGGUAAGCGGAAUAUGUCAUGUAGCGGUGAAAUGCUUAGAUAUGACAUAGAACACCAAUUGCGAAGGCAGCUUACUACAUAUAAAUUGACGCUGAGGCACGAAAGCGUGGGGAUCAAACA